Molecule: long non-coding RNA, 956 nt
Organism: Lolium perenne
Lineage: Eukaryota; Viridiplantae; Streptophyta; Magnoliopsida; Poales; Poaceae
Source: RefSeq, a predicted model, not a curated record
CUUCCUUUUUCUCGCUCGUCUGCCCACCAUUCGCGAAUGUGACCCGUUCCCCAUUUUCUCCCCCACGAUGCCGCCGCCUCCAGCUCCUGCCACCGUCGUACGCCGCCGCCGCACCGCGCCCGCCGCCACAGCGCGCCCGCCGCCGCACCAUACCCGCCUCCUGGACAGAAUCCCUACCAGCGCCACGCCUCUCUGCCCCCAAUCGAGAUUUCGUGGCUAACCCUAGCCUCGAGGCUCACGCUCGCCGGCGCUGCUCCGACAUCCGCCACUCGCCUGCGCCGCCCGGAGACAAGCGCCUCCACCAGUUCCACGCCCCUGCCCUACCACCACGCCUCCUAGUCAAGCUCCGGUGUUGGCUCGGGCUGCUGGUGUUGCUGCCCGCAUCUCGGGCUGCCAGCGUUGCUCCCCGCACCAGCGCCUCCGGCUCCACCCUCGAUGCCCCGAGUUCUUCUUCGUAGAGCUCGCCCUCUGGUGCACCUACUACUCCAACCCGACGCCAUAACCUUCAACAUCGAGCCCCAGAUCGGUGUGGUGCUAAUGUUUGCCUAGGCUGGCUGUAGCCUCACGUCUGCGGGCUGUCGUGACGACACCUUCGUCACCGACUACAUCCAAUCAGGCUGGACCAUCAAGCGCGUCCGCACCGGCCAGAAGACCUUCUUCCAUGUCUCCAAAGAAACAAUAAAUGUGCAUAAUGCUUAUGUCAUGGAGUGAUCUAAAAUCACCUCCCCUGGGCUUUAUCUAAUGCCCUAUCAUGGAGCUGAGACCUGCUUUGCUGCGAGGCAUAUUUGUAUAAGUACAUAUGCGCAUGAGGUGUGGUCGACAAUUACCGGCACAACAUGAGCUAAAAGAAGGUGUCGGUGCCACCGCAAGAGAUGGUCUUGUUUGUUGUGAUGACGAGGAUUGAAGAGUUUGUAUCUUCAAAGUUGGCACGGAGCUUUCCUAAUGAGGUAUAAAUC